Molecule: ribosomal RNA, 914 nt
Filed under: uncultured archaeon
Lineage: Archaea
Description: bacterial SSU rRNA
Rfam family: Archaeal small subunit ribosomal RNA
Source: RNAcentral
UUCCGGUUGAUCCUGCCGGACCUGACUGCUAUCGGAUUGAUACUAAGCCAUGCGAGUCUUUGCAGUAAUGCAAGGCAUACGGCUCAGUAACACGUAGUCAACUUACCCUAUGGACGAGGAUAAUCUCGGGAAACUGAGCAUAAUACUCGAUAGAUCAUAAUGCCUGGAAUGGUUUAUGGUUGAAAUGAUUCGUCGCCAUAGGAUGGGACUGCGGCCUAUCAGCUUGUUGGUGAGGUAAUGGCCCACCAAGGCGAUUACAGGUACGGGCUCUGAGAGGAGAAGCCCGGAGAUGGGUACUGAGACAAGGACCCAGGCCCUAUGGGGCGCAGCAGGCGAGAAAACUUUGCAAUGUGCGAAAGCACGACAAGGUUAAUCCGAGUGAUUUCUGCUAAAGAAAUCUUUUGCAAGUCAUAAAACCACUAGUGAAUAAGGGGUGGGCAAGUUCUGGUGUCAGCCGCCGCGGUAAAACCAGCACCUCAAGUGGUCAGGAGGAUUAUUGGGCCUAAAGCAUCCGUAGCCGGCUCUGUAAGUUUUCGGUUAAAUCCAUGUGCUUAACGCAUGGGCUGCCGAAAAUACUGCAUAGCUAGGGAGUGGGAGAGGUAGACGGUACUCGGUAGGAAGGGGUAAAAUCCUUUGAUCUAUCGAUGACCACCUGUGGCGAAGGCGGUCUACCAGAACACGUUCGACGGUGAGGGAUGAAAGCUGGGGGAGCAAACCGGAUUAGAUACCCGGGUAGUCCCAGCUGUAAACGAUGCAGACUCGAUGAUGCAUUGGCAUAUAGCCAGUGCAGUGUCGCAGGGAAGCCGUUAAGUCUGCCGCCUGGGAAGUACGUACGCAAGUAUGAAACUUAAAGGAAUUGGCGGGGGAGCACCACAAGGGGUGAAGCCUGCGGUUCAAUUGGAUUCAACGCCGGG